Molecule: ribosomal RNA, 253 nt
Filed under: uncultured bacterium
Lineage: Bacteria
Description: partial 16S ribosomal RNA
Rfam family: Bacterial small subunit ribosomal RNA
Source: RNAcentral
GACGAACCGUGCGACCGUUGUUCGGAAUCACUGGGCUUAAAGGGCGCGUAGGCGGGCCCGCAAGUCAGGGGUGAAAUCCCACGGCUCAACCGUGGAAGUGCCUUUGAUACUGUGGGUCUUGAGGGAGGUAGGGGCGUGCGGAACUUCCGGUGGAGCGGUGAAAUGCGUAGAUAUCGGAAGGAACACCGGUGGCGAAAGCGGCGCGCUGGACCUCUUCUGACGCUGAGGCGCGAAAGCCAGGGGAGCAAACGGG